This 515-nucleotide ribosomal RNA is filed under the name uncultured fungus. RNAcentral's name for it is "eukaryotic LSU rRNA". The stretch from base 144 to 297 matches the Rfam family "5.8S ribosomal RNA". The record is from RNAcentral. Lineage: Eukaryota; Fungi.
UGACUUAACCCUCCCUGUGUAUCAAUCCAUGUUGCUUUCCCAGUUGUUAGCCUUUUCRGGCUCCUGGGAAAGGUUCCAUAUAAAUCUAUUGAUCAAAUUGGCUGUCUGAGUUGGCCCAGUGCCAUAUUCUUUGAAAAUGUUAAAACUUUCAACAACGGAUCUCUUGGCUCUCGUAUCGAUGAAGAACGCAGCGAAAUGCGAUAAGUAAUGUGAAUUGCAGAAUUCAGUGAAUCAUCGAAUCUUUGAACGCACAUUGCACCCCUUGGUAUUCCUUGGGGCAUGCCUGUUCGAGCGUCACUGCAAACCCGCUCAUAACUAUUAUGGUAUUGAUGGAAGUGAUCUGUAGCAACUGAUGCUUAMUGUUCACCCCAUCGAAAUGCAUAGGCAGGAUAAUGAACCUCNGCACUGGACUUGGUAACUGUUUUAGAGACAUAAAUUAGUCCCUUGURGUGUUCUGGCCUGGCCUUCAAGGACCCCCAUCCAAAACGAAUAGAGGGUUGACCUCGGAUCAGGUA